GACGAACCGAGCGAACGUUGUUCGGAAUCACUGGGCUUAAAGGGCGCGUAGGCGGGCCGUCAAGUCAGGGGUGAAAGCCUCCAGCUCAACUGGAGAAGUGCCUCUGAUACUGGCGGCCUCGAGGGAGGUAGGGGCGUGCGGAACUUCCGGUGGAGCGGUGAAAUGCGUAGAUAUCGGAAGGAACACCGGUGGCGAAAGCGGCGCGCUGGACCUCUUCUGACGCUGAGACGCGAAAGCGUGGGGAGCGAACAGG
This 253-nucleotide ribosomal RNA is filed under the name uncultured bacterium. RNAcentral describes it as "partial 16S ribosomal RNA". It matches the Rfam family "Bacterial small subunit ribosomal RNA", at positions 524 to 776 of the family's 1533-position model. The record is from RNAcentral.